GGAGGAGUGACUGAGUUCUAAGGAGAAGGCUUCAGAGGGAGGAUGAGGCUUCUGAGCAAAUAAAGACCAAGUAGUGAUCAUCAGACACUUGGCAAGGAAGGGAAGUGUCUAGGCCUGGGUGCGCCAGAGGAGCACAGGCAUGAAAGGCUGGCUAAGAAUUUACCAGGGGCUGAGAGCUCCCAGCUGGAGGAGCCCGGCAGGAACAAGGGCCAUCUGCAGUGCUUGCUCAAGCUCCCAUGAGAACAGGGCAGCAGCUCCGAUCGCAGAGUUCCACGUUCCUGUCCUGCCACGUGAGCCCAUUCCUGCAGCCUUCUAUACUUGGCAGAAGUG
RNAcentral lists this long non-coding RNA (330 nucleotides) under Homo sapiens (human). RNAcentral describes it as "non-protein coding lnc-ABL2-1:1". The record is from RNAcentral. Lineage: Eukaryota; Metazoa; Chordata; Mammalia; Primates; Hominidae.